UACGUAGGUGGCAAGCGUUGUCCGGAAUUACUGGGCGUAAAGGGCGCGUAGGCGGCCUGCUAAGUCGAACGUGAAAUCCCCGGGCUCAACCCGGGAACUGCGUCCGAUACUGACAGGCUUGAAUCCGGGAGAGGGAUGUGGAAUUCCAGGUGUAGCGGUGAAAUGCGUAGAUAUCUGGAGGAACACCGGUGGCGAAGGCGGCGUUCUGGACUGCAACUGACACUGAGGAACGAAAGCCAGGGGAGCAAACGGG
Molecule: ribosomal RNA, 253 nt
Filed under: uncultured bacterium
Lineage: Bacteria
Description: partial 16S ribosomal RNA
Rfam family: Bacterial small subunit ribosomal RNA
Source: RNAcentral